Molecule: ribosomal RNA, 232 nt
Filed under: uncultured bacterium
Lineage: Bacteria
Description: partial 16S ribosomal RNA
Rfam family: Bacterial small subunit ribosomal RNA
Source: RNAcentral
CGGACGGGUGAGUAAUGUCUGGGAAACUGCCUGAUGGAGGGGGAUAACUGCUGGAAACGGUAGCUAAUACCGCAUAACGUCGCAAGACCAAAGAGGGGGACCUUCGGGCCUCUUGCCAUCGGAUGUGCCCAGAUGGGAUUAGUUAGUAGGUGGGGUAACGGCUCACCUAGGCGACGAUCCCUAGCUGGUCUGAGAGGAUGGCCAGCCACACUGGAACUGAGACACGGUCCAG